CAUCGACUACGCCUUUCGGCCUCGCCUUAGGGGUCGACUCACCCUGCCCCGAUUAACGUUGGACAGGAACCCU
Molecule: ribosomal RNA, 73 nt
Filed under: Escherichia coli 1-250-04_S4_C1
Lineage: Bacteria; Pseudomonadati; Pseudomonadota; Gammaproteobacteria; Enterobacterales; Enterobacteriaceae
Description: partial 16S ribosomal RNA
Source: RNAcentral